RNAcentral lists this ribosomal RNA (514 nucleotides) under uncultured bacterium. RNAcentral's name for it is "partial 16S ribosomal RNA". It matches the Rfam family "Bacterial small subunit ribosomal RNA", at positions 28 to 523 of the family's 1533-position model. The record is from RNAcentral.
GAUGAACGCUGGCGGCGUGCCUAAUACAUGCAAGUCGAGCGAACAGAUGAGAAGCUUGCUUCUCUGAUGUUAGCGGCGGACGGGUGAGUAACACGUGGGUAACCUACCUAUAAGACUGGGAUAACUCCGGGAAACCGGGGCUAAUACCGGAUAAUAUUUUGAACCGCAUGGUUCAAUAGUGAAAGACGGUUUCGGCUGUCACUUAUAGAUGGACCCGCGCCGUAUUAGCUAGUUGGUAAGGUAACGGCUUACCAAGGCGACGAUACGUAGCCGACCUGAGAGGGUGAUCGGCCACACUGGAACUGAUACACGGUACAGACUCCUACGGGAGGCAGCAGUAGGGAAUCUUCCGCAAUGGGCGAAGGCCUGACGGAGCAACGCCGCAUGAGUGAUGAAGGUCUUCGGAUCGUAAAACUCUGUUGUUAGGGAAGAACAAAUUUGUUAGUAACUGAACAAGUCUUGACGGUACCUAACCAGAAAGCCACGGCUAACUACGUGCCAGCCGCCGCAGUAA